UCGAGGGUCAACAUAAUAAACCGGUGUCGAAGCUUGCCAGUCUCGAAGAAAGUUAUGGUGAUUCCACAGCUUCUAAAUAAUGUCUUCUUUAUCGCACGGUCACAAGAUACAUCAAAAUUCAGAAGGAAGCUCGAAGGACAAAUUUAAGAGGUAAUCCGAUUAGAUUCGACCGAUGCACGGCCCCCGUGCAAUUCAUAAUUACCAAGUUUUAAACUUUCCAUUGUAUUACAUACAUGGAAAAUAACAAUAAUAAAAAAACACGUAUUUAAAAACGCAA
Erythranthe guttata (spotted monkey flower) is the source of this 277-nucleotide non-coding RNA. Lineage: Eukaryota; Viridiplantae; Streptophyta; Magnoliopsida; Lamiales; Phrymaceae. The record is from RefSeq and is a predicted model, not a curated record.